This 333-nucleotide ribosomal RNA is filed under the name uncultured eukaryote. RNAcentral describes it as "bacterial SSU rRNA". It matches the Rfam family "Eukaryotic small subunit ribosomal RNA", at positions 612 to 957 of the family's 1831-position model. The record is from RNAcentral.
GAAAAGAUGCGGUUAACAAGCUCGUAGUUGACUUCUGGCAGUGGGUAGGUUUGGCUUCGGCCAGCCUAUCUGUUGCCAUCCGUCUGCAAACUAUGUUCGUCCUUCAGUGGAUCGACACAGGGAGUAGACAUUUUACUUUGAAAAAAUUAGAGUGUUUCAAGCAGGUAUUUGCCUGAAUACUUUAGCAUGGAAUAAUGGAAUACGACUCUUGUCUAUUUUAUUGGCUAUUAGACUGGAGUAAUGAUUAAUAGGAACAGUUGAAGACAUUAGUACUUAAUUGUCAGAGGUGAAAUUCACGGAUUUAUUAAAGACUAACUAACGCGAAAGCAUUUA